GCGAGAGAGAGAGAGAGACCGAACGGGAAACCAGUUGCCGUGGCACGUCGAGUCGACCACAUUCCAGGCGAAAGAGUUCGUGCAGCGCCGUCGGCUGCAGCAGCGGCAGAGGCAGCGACUGCAUGUGGGGGCCUCACUUUGGAGUUCCACUGUGCUUCUUUUUUUGCUUUUCCCUGGGAUGCUUGGCGCUUGGCAUGCGACACCCCGAGAGAAAAAAAGAACGGGGAGAACCAGAAACCCUAAAAUAACACUGAAUAAGGGAAACGAAACUUGAAAUACCCUCGUAAAUUGGGGAUCUGGCAUCGCAUUCUUUAGAAAGCUAGAAAGAUAUUGAAAUUUUACCGAAACCUAUACUUUAGUCGCACCACUCCUAUGACAUUUCCGGAAUUCUGAACGGAACAGUUAUCAUUUUUAGUACUACAAUAUGUUCGAUGCGUUGAUGUAUUAGGGAAAUGAAGACGCCCCAAGAAAAACAGGGGAAACAACAAUAAGAAGUGGCGCCCAACACAGAAAGCGAAGAAGCAGCAGCAGCUUAAAGCCGAUCAAUCGCCAUCGAUAUCGGUCGGCAUGCCUUGACUGUUUAUCUUUCGUCAGCGCCUUUCAAUUCAUUCCAUUUCCAUGUUGCCUUGCAGAUAAGAAAACCGUGAUAACGCAACGCCGAAGAGGAGCGGAGUGAUAAGGAGGCGGGGAGGGGAGGGGCAUCCUUGACGGCAAGCGGCAUUUCAAAUGCCCACAAUUUAUAACCUGUUUGCCUUAAUUUCUUACUCAAAUGGCCAGCGAAUUACAAUAAAUUCCUUAACCAGGCAUGUAAUCGCGUUAUCAUCAUUAUUUACAAUUAUAACAGCAGCACACACACCUUCAUAGAUGGGAAAGAAGCAGCGAAAGACUUUGGACUGAGUGCACCCGGAGAAAUUUCGGAGUACAAAAAGAUAUCUAUAAAUUGAACGUCACAAUAAAA
Non-coding RNA from Drosophila suzukii, 958 nucleotides. NCBI's taxonomy places the organism in Eukaryota, Metazoa, Arthropoda, Insecta, Diptera, Drosophilidae. The record is from RefSeq and is a predicted model, not a curated record.